RNAcentral lists this ribosomal RNA (440 nucleotides) under uncultured bacterium. RNAcentral describes it as "partial 16S ribosomal RNA". It matches the Rfam family "Bacterial small subunit ribosomal RNA", at positions 338 to 795 of the family's 1533-position model. The record is from RNAcentral.
CCUACGGGUGGCAGCAGUGGGGGAUAUUGGACAAUGGGGGAAACCCUGAUCCAGCGAUGCCGCGUGAGGGAAGAAGGUUUUCGGAUUGUAAACCUCUGUGGAGGGGGACGAUAAUGACGGUACCCCUUUAGGAAGCCACGGCUAACUACGUGCCAGCAGCCGCGGUAAUACGUAGGUGGCGAGCGUUGUCCGGAAUUACUGGGUGUAAAGGGCGUGUAGCCGGGCUGACAAGUCAGAUGUGAAAUCCGGGGGCUCAACCCCCGAACUGCAUUUGAAACUGUUGGUCUUGAGUAUCGGAGAGGCAGGCGGAAUUCCUAGUGUAGCGGUGAAAUGCGUAGAUAUUAGGAGGAACACCAGUGGCGGAGGCGGCCUGCUGGACGACAACUGACGGUGAGGCGCGAAAGCGUGGGGAGCAAACAGGAUUAGAUACCCCUGUAGUC